AUAUCAUUUUGAGGAAUUCUAACAGAGGUUUCUAUUGGUAGUGUAAGUUGGGCAAAGUGUCUUAUUUUUUAAAGUAUGUAAAAGUAAAAUUACAUGUUAAUACGUAGUAUUAAUGGCGAGACUCCUGAGGGAGCAGUGCCAGUCGAAGACCGAGGCUGAGACGGCACCCUAGGAAAGCGAAGCCAUUCAAUACGAAGUAUUGUAUAAAUAGAGAACAGCAG
Molecule: non-coding RNA, 221 nt
Filed under: Staphylococcus aureus
Lineage: Bacteria; Bacillati; Bacillota; Bacilli; Caryophanales; Staphylococcaceae
Also listed under: 1 other name
Rfam family: S. aureus tsr24 small RNA
Source: RNAcentral